GGGGAUGUAGCUCAGUGUUAAGAGCACUUGCCAGGCAUGCAUGAGGCCCUGGGUUCAAUCCCCACAACCACA
Molecule: transfer RNA, 72 nt
Filed under: Heterocephalus glaber (naked mole-rat)
Lineage: Eukaryota; Metazoa; Chordata; Mammalia; Rodentia; Bathyergidae
Rfam family: tRNA
About the family: Transfer RNA (tRNA) molecules are approximately 80 nucleotides in length. Their secondary structure includes four short double-helical elements and three loops (D, anti-codon, and T loops). Further hydrogen bonds mediate the characteristic L-shaped molecular structure. tRNAs have two regions of fundamental functional importance: the anti-codon, which is responsible for specific mRNA codon recognition, and the 3' end, to which the tRNAs corresponding amino acid is attached (by aminoacyl-tRNA synthetases). tRNAs cope with the degeneracy of the genetic code in two manners: having more than one tRNA (with a specific anti-codon) for a particular amino acid; and 'wobble' base-pairing, i.e. permitting non-standard base-pairing at the 3rd anti-codon position.
Source: Rfam by way of RNAcentral